CCUACGGGAGGCAGCAGUGGGGGAUAUUGCACAAUGGGGGGAACCCUGAUGCAGCGACGCCGCGUGGGUGAAGAAGCGCCUCGGCGCGUAAAGCCCUGUCAGCAGGGAAGAAAAUGACGGUACCUGAAGCAGAAGCCCCGGCUAACUACGUGCCAGCAGCCGCGGUAAUACGUAGGGGGCAAGCGUUAUCCGGAUUUACUGGGUGUAAAGGGGGCGCAGACGGGGGUGCAAGCCAGGGGGGAAAGCCCGGGGCCCAACCCCGGGACUGCUCUUGGAACUGCGUGGCUGGAGUGCAGGAGGGGCAGGCGGAAUGCCUGGUGUAGCGGUGAAAUGCGUAGAUAUCAGGAGGAACACCGGUGGCGAAGGCGGCCUGCUGGACUGCAACUGACGUUGAGGCCCGAAAGCGUGGGGAGCAAACAGGAUUAGAUACCCCAGUAGUC
RNAcentral lists this ribosomal RNA (440 nucleotides) under uncultured bacterium. RNAcentral describes it as "partial 16S ribosomal RNA". It matches the Rfam family "Bacterial small subunit ribosomal RNA", at positions 338 to 795 of the family's 1533-position model. The record is from RNAcentral.